UACGGGGGGCAGCAGUGGGGAAUAUUGCACAAUGGGCGAAAGCUGAUGCAGCGACGCCGCGUGAGGGAUGACGGCCUUCGGGUUGUAAACCUCUUUCAGCAGGGAAGAAGCGCAAGUGACGGUACCUGCAGAAGAAGCACCGGCUAACUACGUGCCAGCAGCCGCGGUAAU
This 171-nucleotide ribosomal RNA is filed under the name uncultured Rhodococcus sp. RNAcentral's name for it is "partial 16S ribosomal RNA". It matches the Rfam family "Bacterial small subunit ribosomal RNA", at positions 340 to 524 of the family's 1533-position model. Lineage: Bacteria; Bacillati; Actinomycetota; Actinomycetes; Mycobacteriales; Nocardiaceae. The record is from RNAcentral.